This is a long non-coding RNA of Amblyraja radiata (thorny skate), 392 nucleotides long. RefSeq lists it as uncharacterized. NCBI's taxonomy places the organism in Eukaryota, Metazoa, Chordata, Chondrichthyes, Rajiformes, Rajidae. The transcript has 3 exons. The record is from RefSeq and is a predicted model, not a curated record.
UGCAGAAGGACCAAUUAAUUUAUGGUCUUUAUAGGCGACAUAUAUUCCAGGCUGUUUUCACACCUUCCUGCUAACUAUUCCCAUCAUAAACAUUUACCUGCAGAGGAAAUGGUCAAUGUAAGAUUAUUUUUGUGCAAUCCCAUUUUACCCCCAAUAGUAGGACUACAUUGUCAAGUAUGGUGCAAAAUUACAUUACCACUUCUGUAGUGGCUAUUAUAAAGAGAAAUAUAAAAUGCAAUUUUAUCUCAAGUCCAGGCAUAAACUGGAAGCUGUUAUCAUUUAUCCCCUGCCUUAUAAAGCUGGUUAUACUUCACACCAAGUAUUGAUUUGCCUUUGAAUAUACAUGGUUACAUGCAGUUGAUAGGUGUUCAAGAAGGAACUGCAGAUGCUGG